This 300-nucleotide transfer RNA is filed under the name uncultured Candidatus Endomicrobium sp. RNAcentral describes it as "partial contains 16S ribosomal RNA and 16S-23S ribosomal RNA intergenic spacer". The record is from RNAcentral. Lineage: Bacteria; Pseudomonadati; Elusimicrobiota; Endomicrobiia; Endomicrobiales; Endomicrobiaceae.
AAGGUAGCCGUACGAGAACGUGCGGCUGGAUCACCUCCUUUUUAAGGAGUAAACAUGCGUUUUAAGUCUACUUAAAACGAGAUGUUAAUGGUCGACUUUGGAUUGUAAUGUUUGAGUCGAACUUAGCGGGGCGUUUGUCUGUGUGUUAUUGAAGCUGUUUUGUGUGUCAGAAGAUUUAUAUCUUAUAAGGGCGCGAGUUGUAUAAACGGGCCUAUAGCUCAGUUAGUCAGAGCGCACCCCUGAUAAGGGUGAGGUCUGUGGUGCAACUCCACAUAGGCCCACCAACUGAUGCGUGGUGUU